UAACACUAACUGGAGGACCGAACCGACUAAUGUUGAAAAAUUAGCGGAUGACCUGUGGCUGGGGGUGAAAGGCCAAUCAAACCGGGAGAUAGCUGGUUCUCCCCGAAAGCUAUUUAGGUAGCGCCUCGUGAAUUCAUCUCCGGGGGUAGAGCACUGUUUCGGCUAGGGGGCCAUCCCGGCUUACCAACCCGAUGCAAACUGCGAAUACCGGAGAAUGUUAUCACGGGAGACACACGGCGGGUGCUAACGUCCGUCGUGAAGAGGGAAACAACCCAGACCGCCAGCUAAGGUCCCAAAGUCAUGGUUAAGUGGGAAACGAUGUGGGAAGGCCCAGACAGCCAGGAUGUUGGCUUAGAAGCAGCCAUCAUUUAAAGAAAGCGUAAUAGCUCACUGGUCGAGUCGGCCUGCGCGGAAGAUGUAACGGGGCUAAACCAUGCACCGAAGCUGCGGCAGCGACACUCAGGUGUUGUUGGGUAGGGGAGCGUUCUGUAAGCCUGUGAAGGUGUGUCGUGAGGCAUGCUGGAGGUAUCAGAAGUGCGAAUGCUGACAUAAGUAACGAUAAAGCGGGUGAAAAGCCCGCUCGCCGGAAGACCAAGGGUUCCUGUCCAACGUUAAUCGGGGCAGGGUGAGUCGACCCCUAAGGCGAGGCCGAAAGGCGUAGUCGAUGGGAAACGGGUUAAUAUUCCCGUACUUGGUGUUACUGCGAAGGGGGGACGGAGAAGGCUAUGUUGGCCGGGCGACGGUU
RNAcentral lists this ribosomal RNA (745 nucleotides) under Salmonella enterica subsp. enterica. RNAcentral describes it as "partial 23S ribosomal RNA". It matches the Rfam family "Bacterial large subunit ribosomal RNA", at positions 757 to 1503 of the family's 2925-position model. The record is from RNAcentral. Lineage: Bacteria; Pseudomonadati; Pseudomonadota; Gammaproteobacteria; Enterobacterales; Enterobacteriaceae.